RNAcentral lists this ribosomal RNA (492 nucleotides) under uncultured bacterium. RNAcentral's name for it is "partial 16S ribosomal RNA". It matches the Rfam family "Bacterial small subunit ribosomal RNA", at positions 29 to 507 of the family's 1533-position model. The record is from RNAcentral.
AGUGAACGCUGGCGGUAGGCCUAACACAUGCAAGUCGGACGGCAGCACAGUAAGAGCUUGCUCUUACGGGUGGCGAGUGGCGGACGGGUGAGGAAUACAUCGGAAUCUACUUUUUCGUGGGGGAUAACGUAGGGAAACUUACGCUAAUACCGCAUACGACCUACGGGUGAAAGCAGGGGAUCUUCGGACCUUGCGCAAUUGAAUGAGCCGAUGUCGGAUUAGCUAGUUGGCGGGGUAAAGGCCCACCAAGGCGACGAUCCGUAGCUGGUCUGAGAGGAUGAUCAGCCACACUGGAACUGAGACACGGUCCAGACUCCUACGGGAGGCAGCAGUGGGGAAUAUUGGACAAUGGGCGCAAGCCUGAUCCAGCCAUACCGCGUGGGUGAAGAAGGCCUUCGGGUUGUAAAGCCCUUUUGUUGGGAAAGAAAAGCAGCAGGUUAAUACCCCGCUGUUCUGACGGUACCCAAAGAAUAAGCACCGGCUAACUUCGUG